This 490-nucleotide ribosomal RNA is filed under the name uncultured bacterium. RNAcentral's name for it is "partial 16S ribosomal RNA". It matches the Rfam family "Bacterial small subunit ribosomal RNA", at positions 30 to 507 of the family's 1533-position model. The record is from RNAcentral.
AUUGAACGCUGGCGGCAGGCCUAUCACAUGCAAGUCGAACGGUAACAGGAAGCAGCUUGCUGCUUCGCUGACGAGUGGCGGACGGGUGAGUAAUGUCUGGGAAGCUGCCUGAUGGAGGGGGAUAACUACUGGAAACGGUAGCUAAUACCGCAUAAUGUCGCAAGACCAAAGAGGGGGACCUUCGGGCCUCUUGCCAUCGGAUGUGCCCAGAUGGGAUUAGCUUGUUGGUGGGGUAACGGCUCACCAAGGCGACGAUCCCUAGCUGGUCUGAGAGGAUGACCAGCCACACUGGAACUGAGACACGGUCCAGACUCCUACGGGAGGCAGCAGUGGGGAAUAUUGCACAAUGGGCGCAAGCCUGAUGCAGCCAUGCCGCGUGUAUGAAGAGGGCCUUCGGGUUGUAAAGUACUUUUAGCGGGGAGGAAGGGAGUAAAGUUAAUACCUUGGCUCAUUGACGUUACCCGCAGAAGAAGCACCGGCUAACUCCGUG